This 20-nucleotide non-coding RNA is filed under the name Arabidopsis thaliana (thale cress). Lineage: Eukaryota; Viridiplantae; Streptophyta; Magnoliopsida; Brassicales; Brassicaceae. The record is from RNAcentral.
CGGCAUCAGCGUGCUCCGGG